This is a non-coding RNA of Eublepharis macularius, 72 nucleotides long. NCBI's taxonomy places the organism in Eukaryota, Metazoa, Chordata, Lepidosauria, Squamata, Eublepharidae. The record is from the annotation of a RefSeq genome assembly.
GGGGAUGUGGCCCAGUGGUAGAGCACCUGCUUGGGAUGCAGAAUGCCCCAGGUUCAAUCCUUGGCAUCUUCA